RNAcentral lists this non-coding RNA (158 nucleotides) under Ameyamaea chiangmaiensis. Its description in RNAcentral is "6S / SsrS RNA". It matches the Rfam family "6S / SsrS RNA". Rfam says of the family: E. coli 6S RNA was the first non coding RNA to be sequenced, but its function was unknown until recently. It consists of 184 nucleotides that fold into an extended hairpin structure with a large single-stranded internal bulge. Lineage: Bacteria; Pseudomonadati; Pseudomonadota; Alphaproteobacteria; Acetobacterales; Acetobacteraceae. The record is from Rfam by way of RNAcentral.
GCGGGGCUGGCCUGUGCGUCAGGUAACUCAACCCCUGGGCCGAUAAGCACUUCCUUAGGGAGCUGGCUCUGACGUGAUCCUGGUCAUGUUAUCUGGUGCCCACCUGCGUGAGCAGGUCCGGGAGGGCUGAAAAGACCGACGGCAGUGGUGGCUCCGCA